AGAAAUAGCGUACAGCCCUUGAGAGAUCGUUCAAAGCAACAAAAAGCUUAAUCACUACACGAUAAGCUGGAAGAUCAAAAAGGCAAUUUGAAGCCUCCAUUUCCCAUAGCAUGUCUAUUGCUUCCCUAUAUUUGUUCGCUGAAUAACGACAGUGAAUCAGAGUAGUAUACAUAACUACACUUGGAUUACCACCAGAUUUCCUGAACCAGUCAUAUAGUCCCUCCACGAUCUCAAAUCUUCCCAGCCUAAUGCAAAUCUUCAUGAUAGCGGUACAGUCCUGUGGUGUCAAAUUCAGAUCAUCUCUCACAGCAAGCUCCUCUAAUAAUACCAAAACAAGUGUGCUUUUAUCAGGAUCCUUACCAAGCUCUAAGAUUAGCUUAGCAUACACCCCAGUAUCAAGCACUCUGUUAGAUUCCUUAGCCAUUGAAAGUAGCUUCAAAGCAAGCUUCAGG
This 452-nucleotide unclassified non-coding RNA is filed under the name Hevea brasiliensis (rubber tree). The record is from RNAcentral. Lineage: Eukaryota; Viridiplantae; Streptophyta; Magnoliopsida; Malpighiales; Euphorbiaceae.